UGGGAAUUUUGGACAAUGGGCGAAAGCCUGAUCCAGCAAUGCCGCGUGUGUGAAGAAGGCCUUCGGGUUGUAAAGCACUUUUGUCCGGAAAGAAAUCCUUGGCUCUAAUACAGUCGGGGGAUGACGGUACCGGAAGAAUAAGCACCGGCUAACUACGUGCCAGCAGCCGCGGUAAUACGUAGGGUGCAAGCGUUAAUCGGAAUUACUGGGCGUAAAGCGUGCGCAGGCGGUUUGCUAAGACCGAUGUGAAAUCCCCGGGCUCAACCUGGGAACUGCAUUGGUGACUGGCAGGCUAGAGUAUGGCAGAGGGGGGUAGAAUUCCACGUGUAGCAGUGAAAUGCGUAGAGAUGUGGAGGAAUA
This 360-nucleotide ribosomal RNA is filed under the name uncultured bacterium. RNAcentral describes it as "partial 16S ribosomal RNA". It matches the Rfam family "Bacterial small subunit ribosomal RNA", at positions 356 to 708 of the family's 1533-position model. The record is from RNAcentral.